AUACGUAGGGGGCGAGCGUUGUCCGGAAUGAUUGGGCGUAAAGGGCGCGUAGGCGGCCCGGUAAGUCUGGAGUGAAAGUCCUGUUUUUAAGAUGGGAAUUGCUUUGGAUACUGUCGGGCUUGAGUGCAGGAGAGGUAAGUGGAAUUCCCAGUGUGGCGGGGGAAUGCGUAGAGAUUGGGAGGAACACCAGUGGCGAAGGCGACUUACUGGACUGUAACUGACGCUGAGGCGCGAAAGUGUGGGGAGCAAACAGGAUUAGAUACCCUGGUAGUCCACACUGUAAACGAUGAAUGCUAGGUGUAGGGGUAUCGACCCCUUCUGUGCCGCAGUCAACACAAUAAGCAUUCCGCCUGGGGAGUACGGCCGCAAGGUUGAAACUCAAAGGAAUUGACGGGG
RNAcentral lists this ribosomal RNA (396 nucleotides) under uncultured bacterium. RNAcentral's name for it is "partial 16S ribosomal RNA". It matches the Rfam family "Bacterial small subunit ribosomal RNA", at positions 523 to 918 of the family's 1533-position model. The record is from RNAcentral.